CCCUUAGAUGUUCUGGGCUGCACGCGUGCUACAAUGAUACAUACAUACAGUAAUCCUAUACAGACAUGUAGUGGUAAUCUUUAAUAUGUAUCGUACUAGGGAUAGACUAUUGUAAUUAUUGGUCUUGAACCAGGAAUUCCUAGUAAGCGUAAGUCACCAACUUACGCUGAUUACGUCCCUGCCCUUUGUACACACCGCCCGUCGCUUCUACCGAUUGAGUGUUCCGGUGAAUUAUUCUGAUCACUUCAUGUGAAAAGUUUUGUAAACCUUAACACUUAGAGGAAGGAGAAGUCGUAACA
RNAcentral lists this ribosomal RNA (299 nucleotides) under uncultured eukaryote. RNAcentral's name for it is "partial 18S ribosomal RNA". It matches the Rfam family "Eukaryotic small subunit ribosomal RNA", at positions 1470 to 1796 of the family's 1831-position model. The record is from RNAcentral.